RNAcentral lists this ribosomal RNA (253 nucleotides) under uncultured Staphylococcus sp. Its description in RNAcentral is "partial 16S ribosomal RNA". It matches the Rfam family "Bacterial small subunit ribosomal RNA", at positions 109 to 355 of the family's 1533-position model. The record is from RNAcentral. Lineage: Bacteria; Bacillati; Bacillota; Bacilli; Caryophanales; Staphylococcaceae.
AGUAACACGUGGAUAACCUACCUAUAAGACUGGGAUAACUUCGGGAAACCGGAGCUAAUACCGGAUAAUAUAUUGAACCGCAUGGUUCAAUAGUGAAAGACGGUUUUGCUGUCACUUAUAGAUGGAUCCGCGCUGCAUUAGCUAGUUGGUAAGGUAACGGCUUGCCAAGGCAACGAUGCGUAGCCGACCUGAGAGGGUGAUCGGCCACACUGGAACUGAGACACGGUCCAGACUCCUACGGGAGGCAGCAGCC